GUUUAGUCUAUGUUAAAUUGAUUUUAAGAUUAAAGUACAUAGAAGUGUCUUAGAAGAGUUUCUUUUUAUUUUAAUCAAGUAGCUCACAAUUAGGAAUUUUAAGAAAGGAAAUAGAUUAAGAUUUUUAAAAAGUUAGAAGGAGGUUAAAAAUUACUUUUUUAAGGGAUGAUUACCUAAUGUACAUUUUCAUUUCAUCACAUUCAAAACUUCAUUUUACUAUUUACCUCUUGAAGAUGUUCUCAUGGACCUGUUACCACCCUCUUAAGACUAAUCCUGUGAUAUUUCCCCAGAACAGAGCUGUAUCUAUUGUCCUUUCAUCACACUUAACAACAGAGAUGUAUUCAAGGAUUCUGCAAGAUGCUGUAAAAUUCCUUAUCAGGAAUAUGGUUGCCAUUCUAAUAUUUAAUAUGGAGAGAUAUGCAAAUCCUUCAAUAUUAGCAUGUGAACAAAAUGCUACACUUAAGGAAAAUGAAGGAAUGAAAGAUCCUUGCCUCACAUUCAAUUUUUAAAUGUAUACAAAUGGGCAUACAAAUGUCUAAAAGCCUGAGAAGAGCCAGCUAACUAACAAAUUGAAAUAAUGUGGUAUCAGAAGUUGAGAGUGUUUUAUGAUAUUUUAUGAAAAAGCCAUUUGUAUUUUUCUUUCUUUUUUAAAAGAAAGGCAUAAGUGAUAGAGAGAUGGAGAAAUGGAGAGACCAAGAUCUUCCACCUUCUGGUUCAUUCCCAAGUAGCCAAAGCAGCCAAGUCUGGGCCAGAUAGAAGCCAAUAGUCAAUCAAACCAAUUUGAGUCUUCUGCAAUUAUGACAGGAUAAAUCCUUGGGCCAUGAUUUGCUGCAUUUCCAUACAAAUUAACAGGAAGCUGCCUGAGAAGUGGAGAAUCUGGGACUUGAACUGACAUUCCAAUAUGUGAUGCCUGUGUCACAAGCAGUGGCUUCACACACUGACAGUGCCACCCUGCAGUUUACAUUUUCCCUGAUGUUUCUCAUUGAAAUCAUGUAAAAGCAAGAGUAUUCAGAAAGUGUGUAUAUGUUUAUGCAAACUGAAAAUUAAAUUAUUCUGUUCUAAGAUCUAAAAUGUAUUUUAUUUAUUUGAAAGCUAGAAAUGAGAAAGAGAGAGAGAGAGAGAAUCUUCCAUCUUCCAGUUUGUUCCCCAAAUGUCUGAAAAGGCCAAGAGUGGGAAAGGCCAAAGCCAGGGACAAAGAACUCCAUCAGAUCUCCCAUGUUAGAAGCAAGUACCUAAGUACUUGAACCAUCAUCUGGUGCCUCCUGUGGUAUAGAUUAGUAGGAAGCUGAAUCUGAAGUGGAAUUGGGAUUCAGUCUCAGGCACUCGGUUAUGAGAUGUGGGGAUUCCAAGAGGCAGCUUAACCCUUUGCGACAGAAGACUCAGAACAUGAAUACUAAAUUCAUACAGGACUAUAGAAGACCUAGAACGGUUAGGGCAAUAUUAGAGAAGAAAAGCAAACCCAAGCUAAGCCAAAGAUCUCUGCUGCUGUAUAUCAGACUUUAUUAUAAAGCUUCUGUGUUUUGCUGAAAAACAAAUAGACCAGUAGAAUGGAAUAAAGUUCAGAGAAAGAUUUGAACA
Molecule: long non-coding RNA, 1578 nt
Organism: Oryctolagus cuniculus (rabbit)
Lineage: Eukaryota; Metazoa; Chordata; Mammalia; Lagomorpha; Leporidae
Source: Ensembl